ACUGUACACAUACAAAGCAGUCAUAAUUAAAAACAGGGAAUAGCACUAUAAGACCUAUAAGACGUUGGUCUUCUAAAUUUCUCUAACUGUCCUGUGAUUCACACUUAUAACAGUAUGCUGCUGUAAAGCAUAAGCUCCUCCUCAUGCAAGGAUCAGUUUAAGCUACAGGAAUCACUUUACUUUAAAGUCCUGGUUUCAAGAGGUGUGUGUCUGUAACACCCUAACAAUCUCAUCGUCAGAAUGCAUGCUUGGCUGAACAUUUUACUGAUUCUCACUGCAUUCCAAUGUGGAAUCAAAGGAGACAGUGUGACCCAGCCAACAGGACCUGUGACAGCUGUUGAGGGAGACGAAGCUGUGCUCAACUGUACAUUUGAGACCACAGAUCCAAGUCCAUACCUUUUCUGGUACAAACAGGAAGCAACUGGCUCCCCUAAGUUCGUACUGAUGAGGUUUAGGCAUGGAUCUGGGAACAAUGAACCUGAGUUCAAGGAGAGAUUUGAUGCUACUCUGACUCUGGUCUCCAUCUUGGUUCCUUUGAGGAUCCAGAGUGUGCAGCUGUCUGACUCUGCUACCUACUACUGUGCUCUGAGGUCCACAGUGACUACAUGUUAUACUGUUCCUGUACAAAAACCUGCUGUGCUGCACAAUACAUGACAAGAUUACUGAAUAUAAGAAUAUAAUAUACUGUAUAUAGUCAUGAUAUCAUAGCAACAUUUCCCCCAAAACAAUCUAAUAGAUGUGCAUUUAAUA
Non-coding RNA from Hypomesus transpacificus, 750 nucleotides. The record is from the annotation of a RefSeq genome assembly. Lineage: Eukaryota; Metazoa; Chordata; Actinopteri; Osmeriformes; Osmeridae.